Molecule: ribosomal RNA, 301 nt
Filed under: uncultured bacterium
Lineage: Bacteria
Description: partial 16S ribosomal RNA
Rfam family: Bacterial small subunit ribosomal RNA
Source: RNAcentral
CAGUAGCCGCGGUAAUACGAAGGGUGCAAGCGUUAAUCGGAAUUACUGGGCGUAAAGCGUGCGCAGGCGGUUGUGUAAGACAGGUGUGAAAUCCCCGGGCUUAACCUGGGAACUGCGCUUGUGACUGCACAGCUAGAGUAUGGCAGAGGGGGGUGGAAUUCCACGUGUAGCAGUGAAAUGCGUAGAGAUGUGGAAGAACACCGAUGGCGAAGGCAGCCCCCUGGGCCAAUACUGACGCUCAUGCACGAAAGCGUGGGGAGCAAACAGGAUUAGAUACCCCCGUAGUCCCUGUCUCUUAUAC